RNAcentral lists this transfer RNA (65 nucleotides) under Rhinebothroides sp. MZUSP 8027. RNAcentral's name for it is "tRNA-Asn". Lineage: Eukaryota; Metazoa; Platyhelminthes; Cestoda; Rhinebothriidea; Rhinebothriidae. RNAcentral also lists the same sequence under 2 other names. The record is from RNAcentral.
GUCUAUAUAGAUUAUAUUUAAAUCAUGAUGCUGUUAACUUCAAGAAAGGGAUGCCCUUAUAGUCG